GACGAACGCUGGCGGCGUGCUUAACACAUGCAAGUCGAACGGAAAGGCCCUGCUUUUGUGGGGUGCUCGAGUGGCGAACGGGUGAGUAACACGUGAGUAACCUGCCCUUGACUUUGGGAUAACUUCAGGAAACUGGGGCUAAUACCGGAUAGGAGCUCCUGCUGCAUGGUGGGGGUUGGAAAGUUUCGGCGGUUGGGGAUGGACUCGCGGCUUAUCAGCUUGUUGGUGGGGUAGUGGCUUACCAAGGCUUUGACGGGUAGCCGGCCUGAGAGGGUGACCGGCCACAUGGGGACUGAGAUACGGCCCAGAAUCCUACGGGAGGCAGCAGGGGGGAAUAUUGCACAAUGGGCGGAAGCCUGAUGCAGCAACGCCGCGUGCGGGAUGACGGCCUUCGGGUUGUAAACCGCUUUCGCCUGUGACGAAGCGUGAGUGACGGUAAUGGGUAAAGAAGCACCGGCUAACUACGUG
RNAcentral lists this ribosomal RNA (468 nucleotides) under uncultured bacterium. RNAcentral's name for it is "partial 16S ribosomal RNA". It matches the Rfam family "Bacterial small subunit ribosomal RNA", at positions 28 to 507 of the family's 1533-position model. The record is from RNAcentral.